RNAcentral lists this ribosomal RNA (492 nucleotides) under uncultured bacterium. Its description in RNAcentral is "partial 16S ribosomal RNA". It matches the Rfam family "Bacterial small subunit ribosomal RNA", at positions 29 to 507 of the family's 1533-position model. The record is from RNAcentral.
AGUGAACGCUGGCGGUAGGCCUAACACAUGCAAGUCGAACGGCAGCACAGUAAGAGCUUGCUCUUACGGGUGGCGAGUGGCGGACGGGUGAGGAAUACAUCGGAAUCUACUUUUUCGUGGGGGAUAACGUAGGGAAACUUACGCUAAUACCGCAUACGACCUACGGGUGAAAGCAGUGGAUCUUCGGACCUUGCGCGAUUGAAUGAGCCGAUGUCGGAUUAGCUAGUUGGCGGGGUAAAGGCCCACCAAGGCGACGAUCCGUAGCUGGUCUGAGAGGAUGAUCAGCGACACUGGAACUGAGACACGGUCCAGACUCCUACGGGAGGCAGCAGUGGGGAAUAUUGGACAAUGGGCGCAAGCAUGAUCCAGCCAUCCCGCGUGGGUGAAGAAGGCCUUCGGGUUGUAAAGCCCUUUUGUUGGGAAAGAAAAGCAGCAGGUUAAUACCCCGCUGUUCUGACGGUACCCAAAGAAUAAGCACCGGCUAACUUCGUG